CUUUCUUCCCUGACAAGAAGAUGGACAAGGUGAGCUGAAAAAGGCAAUCAACGAAAUUUCGCAUCAGUUUAUUGCGUUUCGGUGGUUGUUGGGAACUUGGGAUACUUAAGCAGUACUGCGGAUCGUUUUCAAGAUGAACUCGAAAUUGGUGUUUGUCGUAUGUGGACUUCUGAGCUUCUUGGGUGUUACGGCAAGAGACAACGAUGGCUGGACACCAGUUGGAACGUUGGUUGACGAGUACCCGUCUAACGCUGAAACGCAGAACGAUGAACAGCAGCUCAUAGAUGUGUCUGACCCUGAAGUUCUCUCGGAUGAAGCCUGUUCGAUGCUACUGACUACUCUUGACACUGAACCUAGUAACGUUACUACUGUACUUGAUGACAUGAAACUGGACCAGCCUGCUGUAAUAAGGAGAGGAAGGUGCUACAGGUCCAUUGACUACGGAGACAUCAUACGUAACGUGCCUGGCUUUUGUGUGGGUCCGUUGUACUUAGUCUACGGGGGAUAUAGAUACUGCUGCCGUAAUCAGUUUGAACAUCCACUUCUCUUGAGGAGAGGAUCACUCGUACGAUGUUCUUGUUUGUAUGAUAUUAGAGAUCCAAUAAAUCAACAGUUUUGAUUGAGAAUUGGAGUACUGUACCAUUAUCAUUUUAUAAGUUUCAUGAUUAAGCUAAAUAGUCUCCUCUUUAUAUAAAUUCUAAUGAAAGUGUUAAAACUAGUUAACAUCUAAGUGUAUUCUGUAAUUCUGGUUUACUCAUAAUGGAGAACUCUAAAGUCGUUGAAACCCUAAUCAGUACAUAAUGAUAAAAUCAACCAUGAAGACCAUUCUUGUAAUGAGUGCUAUAUUUAUAAACAUCCAGAAUUGC
This is a long non-coding RNA of Macrobrachium nipponense, 866 nucleotides long. RefSeq lists it as uncharacterized. Lineage: Eukaryota; Metazoa; Arthropoda; Malacostraca; Decapoda; Palaemonidae. The transcript is spliced from 4 exons. The record is from RefSeq and is a predicted model, not a curated record.